AUUGAACGCUGGCGGCAUGCCUUACACAUGCAAGUCGAACGGCAGCAUGAUCUAGCUUGCUCGAUUGAUGGCGAGUGGCGAACGUGUGAGUAAUACAUCUGAACGUGCCCUGUAGUGGGGGAUAACUAGUCGAAAGAUUAGCUACUACCGCAUACGACCUGAUGGUUGAAGUGGGGGACCGCAAGGCCUCAUUCUCUAGGAGCGGCCGAUGUCUUAUUAGCUAGUUGGUGAGGUAAAGGCUCACCAAGGCGACGAUCAGUAGCUGGUCUGAGAGGACGAUAAGCCAAACUGGAACUGAGACACGGCACAGAAACCUACGGGAGGCAGCAGUGGGGAAUGUUGGACAAUGGGCGAAAGCAUGAUACAGCAAUGCCGCGUGUGUGAAGAAGGCCUUCGGGUUGUAAAGCACUUUUGUCCGGAAAGAAAAGGAUCAGGUUAAUACCUGGGGUCGAUGACGGUACCGGAAGAAUAAGGACCGGCUAACUACGUG
RNAcentral lists this ribosomal RNA (490 nucleotides) under uncultured bacterium. Its description in RNAcentral is "partial 16S ribosomal RNA". It matches the Rfam family "Bacterial small subunit ribosomal RNA", at positions 30 to 507 of the family's 1533-position model. The record is from RNAcentral.